This 324-nucleotide ribosomal RNA is filed under the name uncultured eukaryote. RNAcentral describes it as "partial 18S ribosomal RNA". It matches the Rfam family "Eukaryotic small subunit ribosomal RNA", at positions 1470 to 1796 of the family's 1831-position model. The record is from RNAcentral.
CCCUUAGACGUUCUGGGCCGCACGCGCGCUACACUGACCAGUGCAACAAGCAUCCGUCCUUGGCCGACAGGCCUGGGCAAUCUUUGAACAUCGAUCGUGAUCGGGAUAGAUUCUUGUAAUUUUUGAUCUUAAACGAGGAAUUCCUAGUAAACGCAAGUCAUCAGCUUGCAUUGAUUACGUCCCUGCCCUUUGUACACACCGCCCGUCGCACCUACCGAUUGAAUGGUCCGGUGAAAUCUCCGGACUGGCGUGAGUCGGAGCAAUCUGACAAACACCGGAAAGUUGAUUAAACCUUACCAUUUAGAGGAAGGUGAANUCGUANCA